UACGGGGGGGGCAAGCGUUGUUCGGAUUUACUGGGCGUAAAGGGCGUGCAGGCGGUUUGUUAAGUUCAGGGUGAAAGCUCCCGGCUCAACUGGGAGAGGUCCUUGGAUACUGGCAGACUUGAGGAGGGUAGAGGAGAGUGGAAUUCCCGGUGUAGUGGUGAUAUGCGUAGAUAUCGGGAGGAACACCAGUGGCGAAGGCGGCUCUCUGGGCCCUACCUGACGCUGAGACGCGAAAGCGUGGGGAGCGAACCGG
This 253-nucleotide ribosomal RNA is filed under the name uncultured bacterium. RNAcentral describes it as "partial 16S ribosomal RNA". It matches the Rfam family "Bacterial small subunit ribosomal RNA", at positions 524 to 776 of the family's 1533-position model. The record is from RNAcentral.